RNAcentral lists this ribosomal RNA (433 nucleotides) under uncultured bacterium. RNAcentral's name for it is "partial 16S ribosomal RNA". It matches the Rfam family "Bacterial small subunit ribosomal RNA", at positions 29 to 507 of the family's 1533-position model. The record is from RNAcentral.
AACGAACGCUGGCGGCAUGCCUAACACAUGCAAGUCGAACGAGACCUCCGGGUCUAGUGGGGCUCGGGUGCGUAACGCGUGGGAACCUGCCCGUAGGUUCGGAAUAACUCCCUGAAGGGGGAGCUAAUACCGGUUAAUGUCUUCGGACCAAAGAUCUUUCGCUUUUGGGUGGGCCCGGGUUGGUUUAGCCAGUUGGUAGGGUAAAAGCAUACCAAGGGGACGUUCCAUAGCUGGUCUGAGAGGAGGACAAGCCACACUGGGACUGAGGCACGGCCCAGAAUCCGACGGGAGGGAGGAGAAGGGAAUAUUAGAGGAGGGGGGAAAGCCUGAUACAGCAAUGCCGGGGGAGUGGUGAAGGCGUUAGGAUUGUAAAGCUCUUUUAGCCGGGAUGAUAAUGACGGUACCGGGAGAAUAAGCACCGGCUAACUCCGUG